GUGGGGAAUUUUGGACAAUGGGCGCAAGCCUGAUCCAGCAAUGCCGCGUGUGUGAAGAAGGCCUUCGGGUUGUAAAGCACUUUUGUCCGGAAAGAAAUCUCCUGGGUUAAUACCUCGGGGGGGUGACGGUACCGGAAGAAUAAGCACCGGCUAACUACGUGCCAGCAGCCGCGGUAAUACGUAGGGUGCGAGCGUUAAUCGGAAUUACUGGGCGUAAAGCGUGCGCAGGCGGCUCUGCAAGACAGAUGUGAAAGCCCCGGGCUCAACCUGGGAACUGCAUUUGUGACUGCAAGGCUAGAGGGCGUCAGAGGGAGGUGGAAUUCCGCGUGUAGCAGUGAAAUGCGUAGAGAUGCGGAGGAACACCGAUGGCGAAGGCAGCCUCCUGGGAUGACACUGACGCUCAUGCACGAAAGCGUGGGGAGCAAACAGGAUUAGAAACCCGUGUAGUCC
This 450-nucleotide ribosomal RNA is filed under the name uncultured bacterium. RNAcentral's name for it is "partial 16S ribosomal RNA". It matches the Rfam family "Bacterial small subunit ribosomal RNA", at positions 354 to 796 of the family's 1533-position model. The record is from RNAcentral.